UAUUAGAGGGGGAAUUAAACCUGGUGUUCUACUAAGUUAGUGCUAUGAAGCUUAGGCUACAUGAUUGAUAUUAUGCCUUGGUUUAUGCGAUAGAUUUAGAUUUUUUUAAUUAUUCGUGUUUGACAGAGCAUUCAAGUUCAUUUCAUGGUAGUGUUUGUAAUUUACCUAGUUUUAAUCUGUAGCCUAACUAUGUUUUUACAGGUGUUCCUGGACAGUUUUGAAACCGAGAUGUCUGAACGCCUCAAAUAAUCAGCAGUAAAGACAACAGAGACAAAUUCUCUAAUACCAAGGUCAAUGCAUUUGACUGCUGUCCAGCCCUGGGUUGCCACCGAAAACUUUAUGCAUCUUGGACUGGAAGAUGGUGUGCUAGUAAGGAAGCUAGCUACCACAGCUUUUGCCACCACAUCUCAGUGUUGGGAGGGAAGUUCACUCACUGCACAACUCUACCAGCUGUACCUUUCCUCCUCAGCCAUGAUCCGUAACCACCAUGGUUUUCUUUCUGGGCCAGAAGACUUUGCAAACAAAUAAGCAAUAAAUGAUCAUGCAUUACA
Molecule: long non-coding RNA, 551 nt
Organism: Alosa sapidissima (American shad)
Lineage: Eukaryota; Metazoa; Chordata; Actinopteri; Clupeiformes; Clupeidae
Exons: 2
Source: RefSeq, a predicted model, not a curated record